UAGAUUUUGUGAAAGUCAAACUUUGCCAACUUUGACCAAGUGUAUAGAGAAAACUGUCUACAUCUACAAUACCAAACAUAUACAUUCUGAAAAUAUAACUCACAAUGUAUCCAAUGAUGUGCAUUUGGUAUUCUAGAUGUACCUACUUUUCUCUAUAAACAUGAUCAAAGUUUGUAAUGUUUGACUUUUGUAAAAAUCUA
Molecule: microRNA precursor, 200 nt
Filed under: Triticum aestivum (bread wheat)
Lineage: Eukaryota; Viridiplantae; Streptophyta; Magnoliopsida; Poales; Poaceae
Description: MIR1435 microRNA precursor family
Rfam family: MIR1435 microRNA precursor family
Source: Rfam by way of RNAcentral